RNAcentral lists this ribosomal RNA (603 nucleotides) under Cautires sp. UPOL 000104. RNAcentral describes it as "partial 16S ribosomal RNA". It matches the Rfam family "Bacterial large subunit ribosomal RNA", at positions 1816 to 2714 of the family's 2925-position model. Lineage: Eukaryota; Metazoa; Arthropoda; Insecta; Coleoptera; Lycidae. The record is from RNAcentral.
CAUGUCCUUUUUGAUAUUAAUUUAAGGUCUAACCUGCUCAGUGAAGUUUAAAUAGCCGCAGUAUUUUAACUGUGCAAAGGUAGCAUAAUAAUUAGUUUCUUAAUUAGAAACUGGAAUGAAUGGUUGGACAAGAAGAUUUCUGUCUCUUUUUUAAUAUUUUUGAAUUUUAUUUUUAAGUGAAAAAGCUUAAAUUUAUAUAAAAGACGAGAAGACCCUAUAGAGUUUUAUAUUUAAUUAAAAUAAGAUGAUAGUAUAUUAAUUUUUAUUUAUUUAUUUGGUUGGGGUGACUAGAAGAAAAAUAUAAUUCUUUUAAAUUGUAAUUGGAAAUUUUCAAUUUUUAAAUCUAUAAUUUGUAAAAUUAAAAUAAAUUACCUUAGGGAUAACAGCGUAAUUUUUCUUUAAAGUUCUUAUUAAAAGGAAAGUUUGCGACCUCGAUGUUGGAUUAAAAUUAAUUUUUGGUGCAGUAACUUAAAAAUUAGGUCUGUUCGACCUUUAAAAUUUUACAUGAUCUGAGUUUAAACCGGUGUGAGCCAGGUUGGAUUCUAUCUUUAGAAAAAUUUUAUAUUUUAGUACGAAAGGACCAAAUAUAAAUUAUAUUAAUUG